Non-coding RNA from Bemisia tabaci, 998 nucleotides. The record is from RefSeq and is a predicted model, not a curated record. NCBI's taxonomy places the organism in Eukaryota, Metazoa, Arthropoda, Insecta, Hemiptera, Aleyrodidae.
GUAUGUCACGAGAUUCCGUAGUUUACUACCAACAUUUUACUCUUUUUCCCGUCGAAAAAGUCCAACCGUAAUUUGUCAUGCAUCUCCUUUGGAUUUACUAAUGAGGCUGUCCAGUAAUUGAACAUUCUAAUGAGAUUAUUACGAGAAAAUCAAAAGUACUUCCUCAGGUUGGUUUAACUUGUACAACGAGAAGUUCCCAGCCAGGUAAUUGACGGCGAAAAACCAUUUUCUUCACUUUCAGAAUUCAAAGCAAGUGACAAGACCAUUAAUGUCACACGUUUUGAUUGCCGCUUCGUGAGGUUUAUUCAUUCAACCAACAACAGUUGUACCUUCAGAUUUUGUUCAAGCGCUUAAGUAAGAACGUGUGGUUUCUAAAACCAUUGGGCUUGAGUUCUACUAUCAAAAGGAGAUCUUGAAAUAAUGACAUGAAUACUCCUGUUUGGAUAAGAUAUCAAAUCGUGAAAUAUGUGCAGCAGUAGAUUUCUUCUAUCUAUUCAAAGCAUGUUAUGUAAGCAAUCCAAGAAUGAAGUUGAAUGGUUUCUUUCCAAGAAGAAUGAUUCAGAACUGGGGCACUUUUCUGCUUUCGCUGGAGAAGCACUGCUUCCCCAAAGUGAGGAUUAUCUCAAUGAGAAAAUGUUAUACAGGAGUUAACAGCACUACACAAGUCGUUACAUUGGUAUUUAAAAAAUUUACUAACAUGUUAAAAAGCAAACUAAAAGCACUCACUCGCAUAAAAUUGUAAUUUUGAAGUUUUUUUUCUAAUUGGUUGACUUAAUAUGACUUCGGUGUUCAGAGGAGUGACGUAUCCUCGAGAAUAUGUUCUUGUUUUCAAACGCACCAGUCGAAUCCAUAUUCUUUGACGUGAAUUGAUGAGAAAAUGUUAUACAGGAGUUCAAACCACCACAUAAGUCGUUAAAUUUGUAAAUUUUUUUAAAUUUGACCAGGAUAAUUCAAUAUUGGUGACUCACAUAGAAAUAAAGUUACCAUCCAAAACUUCA